This 176-nucleotide ribosomal RNA is filed under the name Cortinarius fulvescens. Its description in RNAcentral is "partial 28S ribosomal RNA". It matches the Rfam family "Eukaryotic large subunit ribosomal RNA", at positions 1 to 172 of the family's 3401-position model. Lineage: Eukaryota; Fungi; Basidiomycota; Agaricomycetes; Agaricales; Cortinariaceae. The record is from RNAcentral.
GUGACCUCAAAUCAGGUAGGACUACCCGCUGAACUUAAGCAUAUCAAUAAGCGGAGGAAAAGAAACUAACAAGGAUUCCCCUAGUAACUGCGAGUGAAGCGGGAAAAGCUCAAAUUUAAAAUCUGGCGGUCUUUUGGCUGUCCGAGUUGUAAUCUAGAGAAGUGUUAUCCGCGCUG